ACUCCUACGGGAGGCAGCAGUAGGGAAUUUUCCACAAUGGGCGAAAGCCUGAUGGAGCAACGCCGCGUGCAGGAUGAAGGCCUUCGGUUCGUAAACUGCUUUUAUCUGUGAAGAUUAUGACGGUAACAGAUGAAUAAAGGGUCUGCUAACUACGUGCCAGCAGCCGCGGUAAU
This 173-nucleotide ribosomal RNA is filed under the name uncultured bacterium. RNAcentral's name for it is "partial 16S ribosomal RNA". It matches the Rfam family "Bacterial small subunit ribosomal RNA", at positions 335 to 524 of the family's 1533-position model. The record is from RNAcentral.